RNAcentral lists this ribosomal RNA (253 nucleotides) under uncultured bacterium. RNAcentral's name for it is "partial 16S ribosomal RNA". It matches the Rfam family "Bacterial small subunit ribosomal RNA", at positions 524 to 776 of the family's 1533-position model. The record is from RNAcentral.
UACAGAGGUCUCAAGCGUUGUUCGGAUUCAUUGGGCGUAAAGGGUGCGUAGGCGGCGCGGUAAGUCGGGUGUGAAAUCUCGGAGCUUAACUCCGAAACUGCAUUCGAUACUGCCGUGCUUGAGGACUGGAGAGGAGACUGGAAUUUAAGGUGUAGCGGUGAAAUGCGUAGAUAUCGUAAGGAAGACCAGUGGCGAAGGCGGGUCUCUGGACAGUUCCUGACGCUGAGGCACGAAGGUCAGGGGAGCAAACGGG